AACGCAUCUUGCGCCCCUUGGUAUUCCGAGGAGCAUGCCUGUUUGAGUGUCAUUGAAAACUCUCAAGAACCUCUUUUUUCUUGUCCCAUGUGGGCUGCAAAGAGGGGCUUGGAUUGCUGGAGCCUUGUGCAGGGUCCCCUUGUGGUUUCUGCUGCUCUGAAAUAUAUUAGUGGAAAAGCUUUCUUUCGGGCUUGUCUUCACUGGCAUUGAUAGUUGAUAUUUUCUAUGCCGUUUGGUGCAAGCAAGUUGGGGGAAAGUUUUCAGCUUCUGCUCUCCAAUUGUGCUCUUUGAUUUUUUAAAGAGCUUUUGAUCAAUUUGACCUCAAAUCAGGUAGGACUACCCGCUGAACUUAA
This 353-nucleotide unclassified non-coding RNA is filed under the name uncultured fungus. RNAcentral's name for it is "sequence contains ITS2". Lineage: Eukaryota; Fungi. The record is from RNAcentral.